Long non-coding RNA from Cryptomeria japonica (Japanese cedar), 1202 nucleotides. RefSeq lists it as uncharacterized. The transcript has 3 exons. The record is from RefSeq and is a predicted model, not a curated record. NCBI's taxonomy places the organism in Eukaryota, Viridiplantae, Streptophyta, Pinopsida, Cupressales, Cupressaceae.
AGUCUCCCUUCCAAAGGAAUGUUUUUAAUACAAUUGAAUUUUUUUAUCCAUAAAAGUGGCUCCUUCGGGCAAAUCCAGUACCGUCUGAAAAUGGCUAUUGAGGGGCUCGUGCCCUCAAAAUCAUUUUAGGCGCUCUCAAAAUAACUACGAGUAAUCUAAGAGACUAAUUUAGUAAGCACCCUGCUAAAUCUGAAGUAGCAGUCAGGUUCUGUGAUCUAGCCCUAGCUCUAAACAAUGUCGAAUUUUACAUUGGUUUGGGACAUUUUCUGAUCCUAAAUCUUAACCGGCCGGUGGGUUGUUAAGCACUUGAGCACCCAAAGUCAUGAUUAAUCAACAGUGCACAGGGUUUAUUUUUAGGGAAGCUUAUCCCCAAACCCUGUAAAUGUUCUCUCUACCUCCUGCAAUUACAUCAUUGCAAUGCCUAGAUCCUAUAUAUAUUUCUCUUAUUCCUCUCCUUUCCUAAGGCUUCAAGUAAUUGCAUUUUUGUGCUUAGGAAUUGUAUUUUGAGCUCCAUUAAAGCAAUGUCUCAGACUAGUCGUUUCCAACUUGAUGGGAUUUACAGCUUUUCAAAGCAGAAAACAGAGGUCGAGGGACUGAAGGAAAAGGUGCCAGGGAUUGAGAAGGUUGAAUUGGGCAAAGAUAAAGUGGUUAAAUUCGUGCAUAAUCCCAGUAUAGCUGUUGCACAAAUAAGAAAAGCUCUGGAAGAUAUGCAUUUGCGUCCCAAUGAUGAUCGAAAUACAAAGAACUGAUGAUGGAUGGAUCGGCCAUAUCUGAUGGGUAGGGCUACUGUUUCAGUCAUGAAAUAAACAAAUCCGUCCAAUGAUUCAUGUUUCCUUUCGUUUUAAUGUAAUGACAGUAUAUCAAUGAAUCUCAAGAAGCUAAACAGGCAGCAUGGAUGUAAUGAUGUUUGCUAAGUAUGUAAUAAUAGAGCAGUUGAGUUUAAAAUUUAUUUAUUUUUCUUUCUAUUGUGAGUUGAAAGUCCAAAAUUUUAUCCACCAGCACACGCUCGGCACGCGAAUCUAGGCGGCCGUGACCGAAUCUUGUUUUUUGUCAUAUAUGCUUACGUGUUCAAAGAAUGUAACAAUUAUUAGAUUCAGAUUCCAUGUGCUGACUGGGUUUCCAGAUUUUUUUGAGAGUACCUAAUGAUUUGAUAAUAACACGCUCCUGAAAAGUCGCGUGGUCGGUUUGCUCAGCCAAUAAGA